ACCAGACUCCUACGGGAGGCAGCAGUGGGGAAUAUUGGGCAAUGGGCGCAAGCCUGACCCAGCAACGCCGCGUGAAGGAAGAAGGCUUUCGGGUUGUAAACUUCUUUUCUCAGGGACGAAGCAAGUGACGGUACCUGAGGAAUAAGCCACGGCUAACUACGUGCCAGCAGCCGCGGUAAUACGUAGGUGGCAAGCGUUAUCCGGAUUUACUGGGUGUAAAGGGCGUGUAGGCGGGGACGCAAGUCAGAUGUGAAAACCACGGGCUCAACCUGUGGCCUGCAUUUGAAACUGUGUUUCUUGAGUACUGGAGAGGCAGACGGAAUUCCUAGUGUAGCGGUGAAAUGCGUAGAUAUUAGGAGGAACACCAGUGGCGAAGGCGGUCUGCUGGGCUUUUACUGACACUGAGGCUCGAAAGUGUGGGGAGCAAACAGGAUUAGAUACCCGGGUA
RNAcentral lists this ribosomal RNA (448 nucleotides) under uncultured bacterium. RNAcentral describes it as "bacterial SSU rRNA". It matches the Rfam family "Bacterial small subunit ribosomal RNA", at positions 330 to 792 of the family's 1533-position model. The record is from RNAcentral.